This 253-nucleotide ribosomal RNA is filed under the name uncultured bacterium. RNAcentral describes it as "partial 16S ribosomal RNA". It matches the Rfam family "Bacterial small subunit ribosomal RNA", at positions 524 to 776 of the family's 1533-position model. The record is from RNAcentral.
CACGUAGGAUCCGAGCGUUAUCCGAAUUUACUGGGCGUAAAGCGCGUGCAGGCGGUUUGGUAAGUUGGAUGUGAAAGCUCCUGGCUCAACUGGGAGAGGCCAUUCAAAACUGCCAGACUAGAGAGUGGUAGAGGGAGGUGGAAUUUCCGGUGUAGUAGUGAAAUGCGUAGAUAUCGGAAGGAACACCAGUGGCGAAGGCGGCCUCCUGGACCAUUUCUGACGCUAAGACGCGAAAGCUAGGGGAGCGAACGGG